Long non-coding RNA from Eurytemora carolleeae, 163 nucleotides. RefSeq lists it as uncharacterized. Lineage: Eukaryota; Metazoa; Arthropoda; Copepoda; Calanoida; Temoridae. The record is from RefSeq and is a predicted model, not a curated record. The transcript has 3 exons.
UGCAGACAAGGCAGUAGAUAGAAAUGUUGCUUUAUGCUUUAUUUUUUAUCUCUUUGAUCUCCAAAAUAUCAGGGGAGGGAAACUGUCCAAUGGGUCAGAUUGAAUCUGCAUGUGUAAAUGAUUGUGAAGAAAAUACAAGGAAAAUUUCAUUUUCAAAUGUGUC